GCUAGAAUCCAGAGCAUGUUGAAGAGGUCACAGUUUAGUGGGGAGACCUAUGUCAGUGUACACAGGCUUUGGUGGCAAGUGGUUUGGAUAUUAAUCUUGAGUCUACUAUCAGAUGGAGAAGUGUGUGAGUGUGAGCAGUUACCGCCCUCCAAUGAGGACCUGGGAACAGAAAACCAAAUGUAAGAAGAUCCAGGUUCAAUUCCCAGCAUCCCCAUGGCAACUCACAACCGGUUGUAAUUCCAGUCCCUGGGAAUCCAGGUCUCCAGCUGAUGUCCACAGGCACCGGGGAC
Molecule: long non-coding RNA, 290 nt
Organism: Peromyscus eremicus (cactus mouse)
Lineage: Eukaryota; Metazoa; Chordata; Mammalia; Rodentia; Cricetidae
Exons: 3
Source: RefSeq, a predicted model, not a curated record